CAGGGUCUAACGACUACCCAAACCCAACCGUGAAUUACUCCCAAAACAUAUGCUUCGGCGGGCCGCUCGCUGGGGGAGCCGCUCGGCCGUUUCGACGGUGGCUCGCCGGAAGCAUGAAACCACAACUCUCUGAAUCUUCUCUGAGAAAUUCUUUUUCUUCUAAGAAAACGUCA
RNAcentral lists this unclassified non-coding RNA (173 nucleotides) under uncultured Sordariomycetes. RNAcentral's name for it is "sequence contains ITS1". The record is from RNAcentral. Lineage: Eukaryota; Fungi; Ascomycota; Sordariomycetes.